This 506-nucleotide ribosomal RNA is filed under the name uncultured bacterium. Its description in RNAcentral is "partial 16S ribosomal RNA". It matches the Rfam family "Bacterial small subunit ribosomal RNA", at positions 30 to 523 of the family's 1533-position model. The record is from RNAcentral.
AUUGAACGCUGGCGGCAGGCCUAACACAUGCAAGUCGAACGGCAGCACAGAAGAGCUUGCUCUUUGGGUGGCGAGAGGCGGACGGGUGAGUAAUGUCUGGGAAACUGCCCGAUGGAGGGGGAUAACUACUGGAAACGGUAGCUAAUACCGCAUAACGUCGCAAGACCAAAGUGGGGGACCUUCGGGCCUCACACCAUCGGAUGUGCCCAGAUGGGAUUAGCUAGUAGGUGGGGUAAUGGCUCACCUAGGCGACGAUCCCUAGCUGGUCUGAGAGGAUGACCAGCCACACUGGAACUGAGACACGGUCCAGACUCCUACGGGAGGCAGCAGUGGGGAAUAUUGCACAAUGGGCGCAAGCCUGAUGCAGCCAUGCCGCGUGUAUGAAGAAGGCCUUCGGGUUGUAAAGUACUUUCAGCGGGGAGGAAGGCGGUGAGGUUAAUAACCUUGCCGAUUGACGUUACCCGCAGAAGAAGCACCGGCUGACUCCGUGCCAGCAGCCGCCGUAA